UAACGCGAAGAACCUUACCUGGUCUUGACAUCCACGGAAGUUUUCAGAGAUGAGAAUGUGCCUUCGGGAACCGUGAGACAGGUGCUGCAUGGCUGUCGUCAGCUCGUGUUGUGAAAUGUUGGGUUAAGUCCCGCAACGAGCGCAACCCUUAUCCUUUGUUGCCAGCGGUCCGGCCGGGAACUCAAAGGAGACUGCCAGUGAUAAACUGGAGGAAGGUGGGGAUGACGUCAAGUCAUCAUGGCCCUUACGACCAGGGCUACACACGUGCUACAAUGGCGCAUACAAAGAGAAGCGACCUCGCGAGAGCAAGCGGACCUCAUAAAGUGCGUCGUAGUCCGGAUUGGAGUCUGCAACUCGACUCCAUGAAGUCGGAAUCGCUAGUAAUCGUGCUCAGUAUGUCCCCAGUCA
This 408-nucleotide ribosomal RNA is filed under the name uncultured Citrobacter sp. RNAcentral's name for it is "bacterial SSU rRNA". It matches the Rfam family "Bacterial small subunit ribosomal RNA", at positions 957 to 1363 of the family's 1533-position model. The record is from RNAcentral. Lineage: Bacteria; Pseudomonadati; Pseudomonadota; Gammaproteobacteria; Enterobacterales; Enterobacteriaceae.